RNAcentral lists this ribosomal RNA (601 nucleotides) under Kosakonia sp. RNAcentral describes it as "bacterial SSU rRNA". It matches the Rfam family "Bacterial small subunit ribosomal RNA", at positions 89 to 686 of the family's 1533-position model. The record is from RNAcentral. Lineage: Bacteria; Pseudomonadati; Pseudomonadota; Gammaproteobacteria; Enterobacterales; Enterobacteriaceae.
UGACGAGUGGCGGACGGGUGAGUAAUGUCUGGGAAACUGCCUGAUGGAGGGGGAUAACUACUGGAAACGGUAGCUAAUACCGCAUAACGUCGCAAGACCAAAGAGGGGGACCUUCGGGCCUCUUGCCAUCAGAUGUGCCCAGAUGGGAUUAGCUAGUAGGUGGGGUAACGGCUCACCUAGGCGACGAUCCCUAGCUGGUCUGAGAGGAUGACCAGCCACACUGGAACUGAGACACGGUCCAGACUCCUACGGGAGGCAGCAGUGGGGAAUAUUGCACAAUGGGCGCAAGCCUGAUGCAGCCAUGCCGCGUGUAUGAAGAAGGCCUUCGGGUUGUAAAGUACUUUCAGCGGGGAGGAAGGCGAUGCGGUUAAUAACCGCGUCGAUUGACGUUACCCGCAGAAGAAGCACCGGCUAACUCCGUGCCAGCAGCCGCGGUAAUACGGAGGGUGCAAGCGUUAAUCGGAAUUACUGGGCGUAAAGCGCACGCAGGCGGUCUGUCAAGUCGGAUGUGAAAUCCCCGGGCUCAACCUGGGAACUGCAUCCGAAACUGGCAGGCUUGAGUCUCGUAGAGGGGGGUAGAAUUCCAGGUGUAGCGGUGAAA